GCGAGCGUAGCUCAGUGGUAGAGCAUCGCCUUCACACGGCGGGGGUCGGGGGUUCGAAACCCUCCGCUCGCACCA
Molecule: transfer RNA, 75 nt
Filed under: Betaproteobacteria bacterium
Lineage: Bacteria; Pseudomonadati; Pseudomonadota; Betaproteobacteria
Also listed under: 3 other names
Description: tRNA-Val
Rfam family: tRNA
About the family: Transfer RNA (tRNA) molecules are approximately 80 nucleotides in length. Their secondary structure includes four short double-helical elements and three loops (D, anti-codon, and T loops).
Source: RNAcentral